This 71-nucleotide transfer RNA is filed under the name Micromonospora sp. WMMD812. Its description in RNAcentral is "tRNA-OTHER". Lineage: Bacteria; Bacillati; Actinomycetota; Actinomycetes; Micromonosporales; Micromonosporaceae. The record is from RNAcentral.
GGCGGCGCUGGCGCGACCUCGCCCGCUCCUGGCAGUGCGGGGGGUCAGGGGUUCGAGUCCCCUCGGCUCCA